AUUGGAUGUGGUGAAGAAGAAAGUUAGGAAUCGGGGAGAAUUCAGGGGAGUGUAUUGGAGCGAAAAAUUAGGGUUACGGUUAGAGUUAGAAGGAUGGGUUGAUGCGGGAAUGGGGUAAUAGGAGGUGGAGGUGAAGAAGAAGAUGGUAUUGCAGGGUCGGCCGGUGGCGGAGACGGCGAGGAGAGAGAGGCCGAGGAGGAGAAGAGGGAGCUUCCAGGUCGACAUUGACUCGUGAGAAGAGAAAAGCUGUCGAUGAAGAAAAAUGAAAGAGGAAAUGCGAAAAUAUGUGAUUCGGUGGG
Molecule: long non-coding RNA, 299 nt
Filed under: Nicotiana tabacum (common tobacco)
Lineage: Eukaryota; Viridiplantae; Streptophyta; Magnoliopsida; Solanales; Solanaceae
Description: long non-coding RNA (NTAB_LNC012120)
Source: RNAcentral